RNAcentral lists this transfer RNA (72 nucleotides) under Camelus bactrianus (Bactrian camel). It matches the Rfam family "tRNA". From Rfam's summary of the family: Transfer RNA (tRNA) molecules are approximately 80 nucleotides in length. Lineage: Eukaryota; Metazoa; Chordata; Mammalia; Artiodactyla; Camelidae. The record is from Rfam by way of RNAcentral. RNAcentral also lists the same sequence under 1 other name.
GAGGGUAUAGCUCAGUGGUAGAGUGCAUGCUUAGCAACCACAAGGUCUUGGGUUCAAUCCCCAGUAUCUCCA